This 345-nucleotide ribosomal RNA is filed under the name uncultured rumen bacterium. RNAcentral describes it as "bacterial SSU rRNA". It matches the Rfam family "Bacterial small subunit ribosomal RNA", at positions 19 to 363 of the family's 1533-position model. The record is from RNAcentral.
UUGGCUCAGGAUGAACGCUGGCGGCGUGCCUAACACAUGCAAGUCGAACGGACGAGGCCCCUUCGGGGACCGAGUUAGUGGCGGACGGGUGAGUAACGCGUGAGGAACCUGCCUCGGAGUGGGGAAUAACGGUUGGAAACGACCGCUAAUACCGCAUAAUACAACGGUGUCGCAUGGCGCUGUUGUCAAAGAUUUAUCGCUCUGAGAUGGACUCGCGUCUGAUUAGCUGGUUGGCGGGGUAACGGCCCACCAAGGCGACGAUCAGUAGCCGGACUGAGAGGUUGACCGGCCACAUUGGGACUGAGACACGGCCCAGACUCCUACGGGAGGCAGCAGUGGGGAAUA